GUGCAUCACUUUAACAGCAUCAUCUUUUAGGAUUUGGAAUAGCUCAGCUGGAAUUCCAUCACCUCCAAUAGCUUUGUUCUCAGUGAUGCUCCCUAAGGCCCACUUGUGAAAUUUACUCUCAUGUAGAGAAAGUUUAAUGUUGGGGUAUCCAAAAAUGACAGUAAUUCCCAUAAACACUUUAUGAGAUUAAAAAAAUGAGACAAACCUCACACUGGGUAUGAAAAUAAAAUAAUUAUGAAAAAUAAAAGGAGUCACAAGCUGUCAAAGUUAUAGCAGUGAAAUACUUUUGUCAAAGGAAUAGGAAAUGCUUGAUAGAAAUAUUAGAAAAGAUCAUAAGUAAUCUUACUUUAGGGAAUAAUUAAUGAUGACCAAUGUUUUAUAACAUACAACUAAGUAGGGUUAGAAUGAUUAUUUGAAACUGCUUCUCCAUAGGGAACCUACCUAUCAAACUUUCAGAAAAUACUCUGCACAAUACGUUGCUAAUCUCUUUUCUAGACUUGUGCAUUUCUGACUUUUUAUACCUUUAUCUACCAUAUAAAAUACGAGUGCAAAAUAUGUAUACUUUUCUUAGAACUGAUAACAUGAUAGUUUUCAUAUGGGAAGGGUGAUUUUGCAAAAUUUGGAACCCUGUUGCAUUUAUUUAGCUGUUGGCAUAGGUGAGAUAUAUGGUUGAUGGUGGGGAGGGUGUCAUUGAAAGAAAGGAUAGAGACUCUCUGCCUGCAAUCUCCUUGUUGAAUUUUGUUUUGGUUAUAUAACUGAGUAUUGACAUUCAAACCCUGUGUUCCUAAAACUGGCUGUGGAUUACCAGGCUCCUGUGAGGAGUUUUUUGUGGGGCCCAGAACUUUGCUGUGAUAGUUAAAUGAUGGCAACAAUACCAUUAACCCAUGAAGCCUGUAAGAAACUUGUGGCGCCCCCUCAUGGACAGAUACAUAGGUUCUCCCACUCUGUCCUUUAGGUGAUGAUUUGGGGACAUUUUCAAAGAGGGAUAGGCUGCCAAGAUUAAGCCUUCCAGUGAGUUACCUCACUCUUAAGAAAUUUCAGCAAGUUAUUAAGCAAUUUCAUUUUUUUAACAAGGAAAGUUUCAAUUCUCUAUUCCUAGGCUGUUACAUGUUACUUGGCAGCAUCAUUUUUUUGCUUAGACUCAAGAGUGCUGUCACUACUGGUGACAGGCUGAGCUGAGCGGCAGCCUGGAGUGAUAGUGCACACAUAGAUCUAACCAAUUUGGCUUCAGGGCCUACAAAAUAUUUCACUGACAUGAGUUUUCCAAGAGAAGCCAAUAUUCAGAUUAACUGAAUACCUGAAAAGAUCUGUGCAUCACCUAGCAUCCUUCCGGUUGGCACUGGAGGUUGGGGAGGUGACCAGAUGGCCGUAUUGUGCAAAGCAUUUAUGUUCUUCUCCGAUGACCAGCUUGCCUCUGGGCUCCUGGGAGCAGUUUCCACUGGAAUGGAGCAGAGAGAAUCAUAAUUAUGUCUCAGCCCUAGUUCAUCACCCAAUAGGGGCCUAUAUUUCUCCAUGUGCCCUUAUAAAUCUUUUAGCUAAAUCAGGACUCAAAUGUAAAACCCAGUUCCCAAGGGAACUUUUUAAUAUAAACUAAAGUCUGGUUUAGGCUGAUUUUUUUUUUUUUAGGCUGAUUUUUUUUAACCUUUGUGAAAAGUAUUUACUCAUGAUAGUUCCAGAUUUAGUACAAAGUCUUACUUAUUUUUCAUGACACUAAAAACAAAAACUCCAAAUGAAUGAAAAGCAGAAACAUCCCUCGAACACUGUACAACAUAUAGAUAACAUUCAUUUAAAUUAUGAAAAUACAGUUUAGAAGCUGGUGGAAUAUUCAGAGGAAGCAUAAUAUUUUGGACAAUGCUGCCAUUGCUAUUUUGCUUGGUUUUACUUUUCAACUAAAUAAUGUUUUUAUCUUCUUAUAGUAGAGCCCCAUAAAGGGAUAAAGUAGUGGAAAUAUGACAAACUUACCCUUUCUGUUUUUUCAAAUCUAGUUGUUUUUACAUCCUGUGAUAAUCAUAGAACCUCAUCCUGGUUCUAGAGGGUUAAGCACAGGUUAAAUCCUGAGUAAGUAGUUUUCUAGAGUAAUCUCCUAAGAAGCACUAUUCUGAGCAUCCUUGAAAGAGGAGAUUCUGUCUGGUCAGCACUCCGGGAGCCAAGUACUCUUUUAAAAUCUGGAUUUGUUGAUGCUACAUGUCAAAAUCCAGACAGAGUGAUAAAUUACUCAUAAAUGAAAAGAGAGGCAAUUAUUGCAGUGAUGGUCACUGGCUAUGAUCUUGGUAACUCCAGUUCUAUAGCUUUUCUUUUAGCUACAGGUAUUUUUUAUCCUGAACAUCUGAUUCCCAGUUUGAACCUGUGAAUAAGUUACUGGAAGCUAUUAGGAAAAAAAUUAUGCUGUCUGAAAAUGAACCUUGGUGUUUUUUAGAAUCCUUCGAAGAAAUAAUAGAAAACCCAGGGACCACUAAAUGCCCUGUGAACUGCUGGGAAAAAAAUAGCUUAUAUUUUCUGGAGGAAAAGUGACUCUCUGUAUUUAUGUAAUCAUUUCAGUUAUGAUUCUGCUUAUUAGCUAUAAACCCCAGAAGUCACGAGGUUAAUAGGAACCUUUCCAAAGACACACACAUUAAACUUGGGGAAUAAGGUCAUACAUUUGUAGAAUUCAGGGUUUAUUGGGACGGGUAUCUGUCUCACAUUAGAGAUUUUGCAGGGAACACUGGCUCCUGGCACACACUCUCUUGGCAUCUGUAUUCCUUUUGUCUGCAUCAAGUUCUGCUUGUUCCUCAAACCAUCAGAAGCUAUUUAAGUCGAAAGGGGUGGAUGCCUCCUAUACCCGGAAUCAUGCAAGCAGUAAGACAUGUGUUCUACUUACCCAGUUAAGAGAGGGCUUCAACAGGAAGGCUUGUCGUAUUAGUGAUACUUCUUUAUAUUUUAGUACAUUACUUACAUUGGAGUCAUUUUUGAGUUUUUCGUUGACUUGCUUUGAAUUUCUAUCUUUUUUAUUAAAUUCAGUUCAAAAUUUCUUUGUUGUUUUCAGUAUGUGCUGAGUACCAUGUGCAAAUGCUAUAGAGGGUGCUGUAAAUAAAACAGAAGAAAUACAGUAAAAUAAUUAGCAUAUGAAAAAUUUCAAUCUCAUGAGUAAUUGGCAAAUAUCGAAGUAAUACUUUUCACCCCAUCAAAUGAUCCAAGAUUAAGAAAAAAAGAAAGUCGGUGUGAUGAUGAAGCCAGGGCAUUUUUUUGUGCUCUACUGGUAGUGAGUGUUGUAAGAGAGAUACAAACCACAAGCCCCCUGGGAAGGAUCACAGUUGGAAACAUCAGGGAAAGUUUCUGGAAGGAUUUUGGAAGAGAAAUGGAAUUUAAACAGAUGGAGGAUGGAAAUGAAUGCAGGGCACAGGGCUUGAUGAAGGCAACCUUAUAUGGACUUGAGCGAGCAGACAUUGUGAGCAAAUCAUCUCGGUGGCAAAAUGUGCCCAGGUGUCUCCCCGGGACACAGGAUUCCAGAAGCAGCUAAGAAGUGGCAACUGCAGAUCUGAUUGAGUUUGAAUUCAAGCUCUCUCCCUUAUAAACAAGGCAGGGUACAAAGAAUGUCAACAAAAUGAAUCAGUUUGAAAAAAGUUGGUCUUGAAAUAAAUAGAACUGGAUAGAAGUUUGGGAUAGAAAUCCGAACUGUCCAUAUGAAUUCGAAAUGAUUGGAAGAACUGGACUCUGAGGCUUUCACUGGACUCUAAGGAUACUGGAGUGAAAUGAAGAGGACCCUUCAUUACACCCAUCUCAAGAGCCUGGACUAAAUAAAUGGAACAAAACAGUA
RNA transcript from Cervus elaphus (red deer), 3793 nucleotides. It is a transcript of the gene named toll like receptor 2, with no coding region annotated. The record is from RefSeq and is a predicted model, not a curated record. NCBI's taxonomy places the organism in Eukaryota, Metazoa, Chordata, Mammalia, Artiodactyla, Cervidae. The transcript has 2 exons.